Molecule: non-coding RNA, 2115 nt
Organism: Durio zibethinus
Lineage: Eukaryota; Viridiplantae; Streptophyta; Magnoliopsida; Malvales; Malvaceae
Source: RefSeq, a predicted model, not a curated record
AAAAAAAAAAAACCCUAAAUCCGGUGUUCAUAUCACCGUACUGCGUCGUCACUUACUCUCCAAAACUUUAGCCAUUUCCCUUCAUCUCCACUGCCAAGCAGCGAAAAGUCUCUUAGCCAUUAAAAAUUUCGAGAAUGGUAAAUUUUCUCAUUCGUAAUCAGAUUAUUUUUCUGAACUGUGAAAUGUAGCUAUGGUUGUAAUUGCUGAAGUUCUGUUUGGUUGCUGAGAAAUGCUUGUAAAGUUAAUGUAAGUGUUAGAUUCAAAUGUUUAACUAUAUGGAAACUGACUGGUUUUGAAUCUUUUGGCGCUAUGUUUAUUACAUUCGGCUUGUUAAUGGAUUGAGAAAUGUCAUAAUCUAUUGCUGAAAACAGGAACUGUGAAAUGUAGCUAUGGUUGUAAUUGCUGAAGUUCUGUUUGGUUGCUGAGAAAUGCUUGGGAAGCAAAUUGGAGUAUUAGAUCCAAAAGUUCAACUAUGUGGAAACUAACUGGUUUCCAAGAUAUGUUUCUUAUCUUUGUCUUGUUAGUGGAAAUGUAAUAACCUAUUGCUGAAAACAAAAAUUGUUAAAUGUAGCCAUGGUUUUAAUUGUUUUUGUGUUGCAGUAACAUUUAAUUUUAAAUUUGAUUUGAAUGAAUUAACCUUUUGGGUCUAAUUAAGUUGAUAUUCACUAGCCGAUACGUUUUUGGGUUGAACUUUACUUUCAUCGAAGAAAGAUUUGCUUCCUCCAGCAACUAUCAAGCAUUUUGAUUUCAUAUGGUAGCAGAUAUCUAUAUUCUUGAUAGCAUUUUAUGUUGCAUAAUUUGCAUUUUAUAUUUUAUAUUUUAUUCUGCAGGAUGGGAAUGAUUCUAUCCAAAACAGAACACCACUCAUAUGGCAGCUUCCGUCCAGAAUCUACUUCAAUAGAUGCAAACAAUAAAGGUUCCAAACAAGGUCUGACUCCAUCAUCAUGAAGAAUAUCCUUUUCAUAUACUCUACUCUCUAGUAACUGCAUGAUACUAGGAAACUGAAGCUUGAGGUGAUGAAAUCGCUUCAUUGGUUUCUAAAGCAUCAGAGAAGUGUUGUUAUGUUGAUUUUGGGGUCCUUUUGGUUGAGGUUGGGUUGGUCUUAAACAUUUGACAUUACAAUUAACAAAAUGGAGACUUCUUUACUUGCUCAUUGCCAAGGAUUUAGUCUGCUUUUAGCUUGGGUCUUUAUUUUUUUGGGGAAAAGAUCUGUGUCACGGUGGAACCCGAACUUCAUUUCACUUGUCCUUGUUCCUUAAGUGCCACCAAAUCCUUCCUUAAGUGCCACCAAAUCCAAAAUGAAGCAGUUUCAUCAUAUAGUGGAUGCAUAUAUUCCUGCUCCAAGGGAAAAAAACAAUGCAUUCCGUUGUAAACAUUUUCUUGAUUUCCUUGACUUCAUUGCACUUGAUGAGAUGAGCAGCAGGAUAGAUAAGCUAGAGCAAAGCAUCAAUGAUCUCAGAGCAGAGGGGGGUGCAGAGAACUUUCCUUCUCCUUCACUUCCUUCUGGUUCGGAGGAUGAUUCCAAGUCAUCCAAUGAAUCCUAACGGUGUUCUGUGAUAGUUUAAUGAAUCCAGCGUCUAAAGCAUGGUAUUUCCAGACUAUUUCAUUUGGUCCCCUGCCUUUCUCAUAUAGAAAACCUGUAGUAUACUAGUAUUUCAACUUUUGGAACAAGAACUAUACUUUAUAUUUGUAACUAAUCCCUCCUCUAAUUCCCUAAUUUCAUCGAAUACGGUUAACCUUCUUGAACUGUUCCUUCAUCCUUGUCCUGUAUGUCAAAAGACCUCGGCAGCAUGUAUUUUAUUCUUUGCAUUCUAUGCAUGUUCUACUAUUGUAAUGAGCUGUUGUAGCAUCAAAUAUCAAUCAAGGACCACUGCGACACCAUGGUCACCUGAAGAGGAAUUGAUUUGUACAUAGAAAAUAGCAGUAGUUGGUAGAUAGGUUCGUGCUCAGAGGAAUCUCAUUAUCUUUUAGAUCAUGCCACCCACUAACAAAUUAAUUAGAUUAAUGUACAUGAUUUGGCUCAACUAAAGCACAAAAAACUCAGGCAGGGUAGUCUUGCAAAGGUGGUCCUGAUUUUCCUCAUGUUAAUCUUUAUAUAUUCUUGUUUUUUUUAUC